CAGAGAAUAGUUUAUUUAAAAAUUUUGGUUUUGGAGACUAAAGAAAAUGUUGAUAUUUUCUCUGA
Molecule: transfer RNA, 65 nt
Filed under: Dorypteryx domestica
Lineage: Eukaryota; Metazoa; Arthropoda; Insecta; Psocodea; Psyllipsocidae
Description: tRNA-Pro
Source: RNAcentral